UCCAUGUUUAAAUUUUAUAUCUCAAAAUAAAAAUUAUCUGCAAAAUAACACUUAUAAUAGGUAUAUAAAACAUAAAUCAAUGCAUAGAUGGUCUGGACCCGGAGCCAUUCUGUAAAACUGAAAAUAUGAGAACUGAAAUCAACCUGGAUCCUCCAAGAUUAUGUGAAUGGUUUAAAACGUGGCCAUCUGACCAUAGCACUACUGUAUACUUAAUGAAUAAUAAUGUAAAUAUGUUUUUAGCUUUUAUAUAUAUGGGAAAAGUGAUUCGCUUUACAGCAAAAUUUGCUAAAAAUUUUUAUGUUCCAAAGGCAAAAUUUGCAACUGCUGUAAUAAGAAGGUAUGCCUGUGUAUACAGAGUGAAUUGUAAUGAAAAGUCACAGUUUUGGGAAUUGAUAAUAGAGGUCUGUCUGAAUUAAAAAUAAAAAAAAA
RNAcentral lists this long non-coding RNA (429 nucleotides) under Androctonus crassicauda. Lineage: Eukaryota; Metazoa; Arthropoda; Arachnida; Scorpiones; Buthidae. The record is from RNAcentral.